CUGACGCUUUGGGGUUUAACAGGUGCCUGUCUGCAGAGUUUUGGCAAAUUGAGGCUGUCAUUCCCUGCUGAGCAGCAGACUGGUGUAAAUGUUCCUCCUGCAGCAGUUUUUUGAAAAUAAAA
Athene cunicularia (burrowing owl) is the source of this 122-nucleotide long non-coding RNA. RefSeq lists it as uncharacterized. The transcript has 3 exons. NCBI's taxonomy places the organism in Eukaryota, Metazoa, Chordata, Aves, Strigiformes, Strigidae. The record is from RefSeq and is a predicted model, not a curated record.